This 443-nucleotide ribosomal RNA is filed under the name uncultured bacterium. RNAcentral's name for it is "bacterial SSU rRNA". It matches the Rfam family "Bacterial small subunit ribosomal RNA", at positions 954 to 1392 of the family's 1533-position model. The record is from RNAcentral.
GCUAAACGCGAAGAACCUUACCUACACUUGACAUACCUCUUGGGACUUUCAGAGAUGAUUGUCUUCGGUUCGGCCGGGGAGGAUACAGGUGCUGCAUGGCUGUCGUCAGCUCGUGUCGUGAGAUGUUGGGUUAAGUCCCGCAACGAGCGCAACCCUUAUCGUAUGUUGCCAGCAUUUAGUUGGAUACUCAUGCGAGACUGCCGGUGUUAAGCCGGGGGAAGGUGGGGAGUGACGUCAAGUCAUCAUGGCCCUUACGUGUAGGGCGUACAAACGUACUACAAUGGCGGUGACAGUGGGCAGCUACCUCGCGAGGGGAAGCUAAUCCCAAAAAGACCGUCUCAGUUCAGAUUGUUCUCUGCAACUCGAGAGCAUGAAGUCGGAAUCGCUAGUAAUCGUGGAUCAGCAUGCCACGGUGAAUACGUUCCCGGGUCUUGUACACACCG